AUAUUUCAACUUUGUCAAAUUAUGCUGCAUGAAAAAUGGCAUCUAAAAUCAAGGUAGCAAUUACUGGAGCCACAGGGAGGACUUCUUGCUCCUUGGUGUGCAAGAUUCUGACUGCGAAGGAUUGUUUCGAUGUUCCAAAAUGCCUUCUAAGGUCUAUCGCUAAAGCAAAAGAGAAGUAUGAAGAUGUAUGGGGCGAGUUGAAAGGCAACUGCCACGAAGUGGAUAUCACUGCUGAUAACAGCACAGAUGUCAUGACAGAGCUUUUCAAGGACUGCAAUGCUCUAGUUAUUCGUUGUUGUAGGAUUCAAAGACGGGAGAGUUUUUUUCUUGCCUGAUGACGGAACAAAUAAAGGUAGUCCUGAGUUGGUGGAUUGGAUUGGUCAGCAACGUCAAGUUGAUGCAGCGAAGAGAGCUUCUUCCUUAGACGACCUUUCCCUUACUUUCAUCUAAUAUUUCAACUUUGUCAAAUUAUGCUGCAUGAAAAAUGGCAUCUAAAAUCAAGGUAGCAAUUACUGGAGCCACAGGGAGGACUUCUUGCUCCUUGGUGUGCAAGAUUCUGACUGCGAAGGAUUGUUUCGAUGUUCCAAAAUGCCUUCUAAGGUCUAUCGCUAAAGCAAAAGAGAAGUAUGAAGAUGUAUGGGGCGAGUUGAAAGGCAACUGCCACGAAGUGGAUAUCACUGCUGAUAACAGCACAGAUGUCAUGACAGAGCUUUUCAAGGACUGCAAUGCUCUAGUUAUUCGUUGUUGUAGGAUUCAAAGACGGGAGAGUUUUUUUCUUGCCUGAUGACGGAACAAAUAAAGGUAGUCCUGAGUUGGUGGAUUGGAUUGGUCAGCAACGUCAAGUUGAUGCAGCGAAGAGAGCUGGCGUUGCACAUGUAGUGAUGGUUGGAUCAAUGGGAACAACAAAAGCUGCUCCGGACGAAUUUAUGGGGUGUUUCAAGUACAAGCGACAAUCCGAAGAUUAUCUGAUCAAGAGUGGCCUCACCUACACUAUCGUGAACCCGUGUAUGCUCGUGGAUGGAGAAGAAGGAACAAGGGAACUUGUUUUCAGCAAGAGUGAUAAACUAAAUUUCAGUGGAUCCUCCAAAGAGUAUCAAGUGGCUAGGAAGACUGUAGCAGAAGUUGUACUUCAGACACUGCUUGUGCCUGAGGCUAAGCAUAAAGCAUUUGAUUUGCUCGGUCGUGUUGAGAUACCGCCUACAAAAGCUGUCGACUAUGUUGCUGUUUUCAAGGAGAUGACUCCUGGACUUUAAGGACAGACUUUUAUAUCUGUAUGCAUGUCAUAUCUAGAAUUAAACUCUUGAUAUUUUAAGCUGUAAGUUUUUAACGUUUGAAAAU
Molecule: long non-coding RNA, 1338 nt
Organism: Halichondria panicea
Lineage: Eukaryota; Metazoa; Porifera; Demospongiae; Suberitida; Halichondriidae
Exons: 3
Source: RefSeq, a predicted model, not a curated record